Molecule: transfer RNA, 69 nt
Filed under: Sphaerodactylus townsendi
Lineage: Eukaryota; Metazoa; Chordata; Lepidosauria; Squamata; Sphaerodactylidae
Description: tRNA-Ala
Source: RNAcentral
GCCGUGGCUCAGUGGCAGAUCAUCUGCUUGGCAUGCAGGAGGUCCCAGGUUCAAUCCUAAGCAUCUCCA